RNAcentral lists this ribosomal RNA (488 nucleotides) under uncultured Lachnospiraceae bacterium. RNAcentral's name for it is "partial 16S ribosomal RNA". The record is from RNAcentral. Lineage: Bacteria; Bacillati; Bacillota; Clostridia; Lachnospirales; Lachnospiraceae.
CACGUAGUUAGCCGGGGCUUCUUAAUCAGGUACCGUCAUUUUCUUCCCUGCUGAUAGAGCUUUACAUACCGAAAUACUUCUUCACUCACGCGGCGUCGCUGCAUCGGGGUUUCCCCCAUUGUGCAAUAUUCCCCACUGCUGCCUCCCGUAGGAGUUUGGGCCGUGUCUCAGUCCCAAUGUGGCCGUUCACCCUCUCAGGCCGGCUACUGAUCGUCGCCUUGGUGAGCCAUUACCCCACCAACAAGCUAAUCAGACGCGGAACCAUCGUAUACCACCAGAGUUUUUCACACCACUUCAUGCGAAGCUGUGCGCUUAUGCGGUAUUAGCACCUAUUUCUAAGUGUUAUCCCCCAGUAUACGGCAGGUUUUCCACGCGUUACUCACCCGUCCGCCACUAACUCAUAAAUCACUAGGUUUCAAUAUGAGUCCGUUCGACUUGCAUGUGUUAAGCACGCCGCCAGCGUUCAUCCUGAGCCAGGAUCAAACUCU